Molecule: ribosomal RNA, 429 nt
Filed under: uncultured bacterium
Lineage: Bacteria
Description: bacterial SSU rRNA
Rfam family: Bacterial small subunit ribosomal RNA
Source: RNAcentral
UGGGGAAUUUUGGACAAUGGGGGAAACCCUGAUCCAGCCAUCCCGCGUGUAUGAUGAAGGCCUUCGGGUUGUAAAGUACUUUUGGCAGAGAAGAAAAGGUACCUCCUAAUACGAGGUACUGCUGACGGUAUCUGCAGAAUAAGCACCGGCUAACUACGUGCCAGCAGCCGCGGUAAUACGUAGGGUGCAAGCGUUAAUCGGAAUUACUGGGCGUAAAGCGUGUGUAGGCGGUUCGGAAAGAAAGAUGUGAAAUCCCAGGGCUCAACCUUGGAACUGCAUUUUUAACUGCCGAGCUAGAGUAUGUCAGAGGGGGGUAGAAUUCCACGUGUAGCAGUGAAAUGCGUAGAUAUGUGGAGGAAUACCGAUGGCGAAGGCAGCCCCCUGGGAUAAUACUGACGCUCAGACACGAAAGCGUGGGGAGCAAACAGG